UGCCUACGGGACGCAGCAGUGGGGAAUAUUGCACAAUGGGGGAAACCCUGAUGCAGCAACGCCGCGUGAGUGAGGAAGUAUUUCGGUAUGUAAAGCUCUAUCAGCAGGGAAUAGAAAAGAAGGUACCUGAAAAAGAAGCCCCGGCUAACUACGUGCCAGCAGCCGCGGUAAUACGUAGGGGGCGAGCGUUGUCCGGAAUCACUGGGCGUAAAGGGCGCGUAGGCGGUAAUAUAAGUCAGAUGUGAAAGGUGGGGGCUCAACCCCUAGAGUGCAACUGAUACUGUAUAACUUGAGUGUGAGAGAGG
This 305-nucleotide ribosomal RNA is filed under the name uncultured bacterium. RNAcentral describes it as "bacterial SSU rRNA". It matches the Rfam family "Bacterial small subunit ribosomal RNA", at positions 335 to 657 of the family's 1533-position model. The record is from RNAcentral.